GCCGGGCGCGGUGGCUCACGCCUGUAAUCCCAGCAUUUUGGGAGGCCGAGGCGGGUGGAUCACCUGAGGUCGGGAGUUCAAGACCAGCCUGACCAACACGGAGAAACCCCGUCUCUA
This 117-nucleotide non-coding RNA is filed under the name Nomascus leucogenys (northern white-cheeked gibbon). Lineage: Eukaryota; Metazoa; Chordata; Mammalia; Primates; Hylobatidae. The record is from Rfam by way of RNAcentral.